Long non-coding RNA from Onychostoma macrolepis, 1894 nucleotides. RefSeq lists it as uncharacterized. The transcript is spliced from 4 exons. NCBI's taxonomy places the organism in Eukaryota, Metazoa, Chordata, Actinopteri, Cypriniformes, Cyprinidae. The record is from RefSeq and is a predicted model, not a curated record.
CACUCGCAUCGAUUAAUAAUCCGCAUUUGUGAUCUUCCUUCGCGCCAAAGGUCGUUGUCCUGACAACGAGUCUCGCGAGCAGCGGAUUACUUGUAACAGACAGUAAAUCAGCGUUUUUUCCGUAGUGUCUACUGCAGGAUGGAUAUAAAAGUAUAAAACACGUUUUGGUUUGACAACAUCGUUCAUAUGUGAACUAUCACAAUUAAAGCACAAAGACAUAACAACAUUACACUCCGAGACCUUUCACAAGUGCGACAAAAGAGAAGAAACGCUUUCCGGAAGAAGUUCAUCAGGCGAGGUGGAGACUAGUCGACUCAUCCAGUUUAGCGGAGAGCAUCAACCCCUAAUUGACAUGAGGAACAAAUCAUUGAAAAGUGUUCAGUGUACAGUGUACCCCUCUUUGCAACAGAGGAAGCAUUAGGAAAGAGAAGAAGAGAGAAAGUGAAAAGGCACUCAACAGAUGUUGGUGAGACUUUAUUUCUGGAAAUGCUUCAAAUGUCACUCACAUUCUAGUUAGCCACAAAUGUAAACCUGAUUUUAGAUUUUAGUCUUUAAAUGAGAUCCAUAACUCCAGCUACUUGUAGACCUACAGUCCUGUAUAUUUCACACUAAAUUGUGAUGCAGCCUGAAUCAUAAUCACAUCAUUUUCAUUUGUUGGCCAGAGGAGAACUGAUCCCUAAACUAAACAUACUUUCUCCCAAGGGUUUUUUUCUCCAUUCUGUCACCUGACAGAGUUUGAGUUCCUUGCCGCUGUCGAAUUUUGGCAUUAUUUGAGGACUAAUAAUAUUCAGCAAUAUUAUUGAUCUGACUCCACCGGCACUAUUGGAUGAGGACUGAACUGAGCUAGAUGAUGACACCACUGCUAUCUAGAUGCACUGAAAUUAUUUUAUAUUUGAUGAUUUUUAUACAGUUAUUCGAAAUUAACUGAGUCAACACUGAUUUCAACUGAACAAUGACAUGUUUUACUGUUUAGAGCUGCUUCACAGCAGAUGUGAAUUCUGUUUGCAUCAUUAUUUGUCUUUUUAUCACUGUAAAGCAGCUUUGAAACAAUCUGUAUUGUAUAAAGCGCUAUAUAAAUAAUGGUGACUUGACUUAAAUUGGUUCAAAUCUUCAAAAAAAAGUGCAUGAAACAAGCAACCUGAAUAAACACAAAAUACAGUUUAUUAAUGAAACUUGCCUUUGUUUUGUGUUAAUUUUCUUAGGAAUAUCUGACAAUAUUUAGUGCUGGAUAUACUCAAAAAUAAAUCAGGAUUUUUUUUUCACAGCACUGUACACCAGCAUUUAUGUUUAGUGUGACAUUAAUGUGUGGAAAUGGACAUUUUAUCAGUGUGUGAUUGCUAUUUUCAGGAAAUGCACUGGUAACAACUAAAAAAAGAUGACCAAACAUAUAAUUCAACAGAAGAUGAUGGCUGUGGUGAAACAAGCACUCAAAUAAUGAAAUGCAUGUUAUUGUGGGUAGUUGCAUGGACUAUCAGUGGAGGAACAGAAAGCUCUGAGAUUUCAUUAUAAAGAUCUUCAAUUGUGUUCUGAAGAUGAAUGAAGGACUUGCGGGUUUGGAACGAUAUGAGGACUACAUCCAAAAUAGUGUUUCCACAUCUGAGAUGAAGGCAGUCAUAAGAACCAAGCAAAACGAUGAGGAUAAGCUCUUCAAAAAAUGAAACCUGUCUGAAUAAUGCAGGAAGAAAUGUGCAUGAUUGUGUGAUUUGUAAAUAAACACUAAAUACAUUUAGUGUAACUCUCAGCCUGUUAUUUUAAGUUUAAAGAAAAGUAAAAUAAUUUAUUGUUGCAUUGCUGUUUGAGACAUUCACUGUUGUUUUGUACCUUAAUUUAUUAUAUUGCAGUUGUGUAAAAUAAAACUUGUUAUUCUGAAUAUUCUGGUUGCAUUUCAGUGUUA